CUCCGGCCCAACUGCUACAGUUGGGCCUUCUCGUGCGAAUGCAAUUGCAGCCGUUGGACCUAACUAUGUGAAACCAAACAAAAAUUUAAUAGAUGUAUAAAAUUUCAACUACACUGCAGUUGAAAAUGCAUACAAUCAAGCAGUCCCAAACUGCAGCACGCUUAAGACCUAGCCACCGUCCAAAGUAUUAUAGCUGGAUUAAGAAAUUCAGUCCGGCCUUAUCUUAUAUAUAUAACUAUUCCAAAUUCUAGAAAUGUUAUAUAGCGCUUAUCUGACCUAACAUUUAAGACAGCUUCUCUAUUCGGAGAAGCAAUAUUCAAUUACUCUUCCAACAA
RNAcentral lists this long non-coding RNA (335 nucleotides) under Ananas comosus (pineapple). RNAcentral describes it as "long non-coding RNA (ACOM_LNC026484)". The record is from RNAcentral. Lineage: Eukaryota; Viridiplantae; Streptophyta; Magnoliopsida; Poales; Bromeliaceae.